Molecule: ribosomal RNA, 497 nt
Filed under: uncultured bacterium
Lineage: Bacteria
Description: partial 16S ribosomal RNA
Rfam family: Bacterial small subunit ribosomal RNA
Source: RNAcentral
GAUGAACGCUGGCGGCGUGCCUAAUACAUGCAAGUCGAGCGAACGGACGAGAAGCUUGCUUUUCUGAUGUUAGCGGCGGACGGGUGAGUAACACGUGGAUAACCUACCUCUCAGACUGGGAUAACUUCGGGAAACCGGAUCUAAUACCGGAUAAUAUUUUGAACCGCAUGGUUCAAAAGUGAAAGACGGUCUUGCUGUCACUUAUAGAUGGAUCCGCGCUGCAUUAGCUAGUUGGUAAGGUAACGGCUUACCAAGGCAACGAUGCAUAGCCGACCUGAGAGGGUGAUCGGCCACACUGGAACUGAGACACGGUCCAGACUCCUACGGGAGGCAGCAGUAGGGAAUCUUCCGCAAUGGGCGAAAGCCUGACGGAGCAACGCCGCGUGAGUGAUGAAGGUCUUCGGAUCGUAAAACUCUGUUAUUAGGGAAGAACAUAUGUGUAAGUAACUGUGCACAUCUUGACGGUACCUAAUCAGAAAGCCACGGCUAACUACGUG